This is an RNA transcript of Ricinus communis (castor bean), 2301 nucleotides long. It is a transcript of the gene named F-box protein CPR1, with no coding region annotated. NCBI's taxonomy places the organism in Eukaryota, Viridiplantae, Streptophyta, Magnoliopsida, Malpighiales, Euphorbiaceae. The transcript has 5 exons. The record is from RefSeq and is a predicted model, not a curated record.
UUACAGUCCGCGUUCAUUUCCCCAACUGCUGCAAAGGUAAAGAGGGAAAAAGAAAAUCCACAAAACCCUAUAAGCACUGCACCAAACUGAGACUUCAACGAUGUCCAAUCUCCCGUUAGAAAUGAUCGCGGAAAUACUAUGCCGUCUAACGGCCAAGAAACUUCUCUGCUGCAGGUGCGUGUCAAAACGAUGGCGCACUUUAAUAGACAGUCCAACUUUCAUUUACUUACAUCUUAACCACUCUAUAGAAAGCCCUUGUAAUUUAAGCAUAAUACUUAAGAGUUCAGAGCUUUACUCUUUAUCUUUUGAUUUACUCGAUAACAUCCAACCACUUGACCAUCCUUUGAUGUGUUACAAUCAUGGUGUCAAAAUCUUGGGUUCUUGUAAUGGAUUGCUUUGUAUUUGUAAUAUUGUUGAUGACAUUGCUUUGUGGAAUCCAUCUAUUAGAGCCCACCGUGUUGUACCCUAUUUGCCUGUUGAGCUUAAACGCUAUUUCGGGAUGUGUUCUUGCCGGGUUAGUGUUUUUGGAUUUGGGUAUGAUCUUAGUAAUGAUGAUUAUAAGCUUGUUAGAAUUGCUCAGUUUGGGGGUGUGGAUAGAAAGAGUUUUGAGUCUGAAGUUAAGGUUUUUAGUUUGAGAAAGAAUUCUUGGCGAAGGAUUGCUGAUAUGCCUUACUGUGUUUUGUAUCCUGGGGAAAAUGGGAUUUAUGCUAAUGGUGCUUUACAUUGGUUAGUGAGCCAAGAUCCUGACUCCACUGUGGCCGAUACAAUUGUUGCUUUGGAUUUAGGAGUUGAGGAUUAUCAUGUUGUGCCCAAGCCUGAAUUUGUGGAUAUGAAUUGUAACAUGGGUAUUGGGGUUCUCCAAGGAUGCCUUAGUCUGCUUGCAUAUGCUCGCAGUGAGCGUGUUGAUGUUUGGGUAAUGGAGGAGUAUAUGGUCAAGGAGUCUUGGAGUAAAUUAUUUUCUGUUGCGCGGCUAGAAGUUAUUGGGAUUCUUAGAUCUCUUAAACCUCUGGCUUAUUCAAAAAGUGGUAAUGAAGUUCUCAUAGAGCACGACAAUGUAAACCUUUUCUGGUAUGACCUUAAGAGAAAAGAAGUCGUGAAUGUUUGGAUUCAAGGUGUGCCAAUUACAUUUGAAGCUGAAAUUUGUGUUGGAAGCCUUGUUCCACUCAAUGCAAAUAGGCUGCGUAGGAGACCAAAACAUGAACAUAAGGAGACAAAAAAUAGGAAGAAGAGGGAUGAUUUCUUGUCUGAAGGCUUCAAAUUGGUCUUGUAAGCUAGUAUCAGAAGAGUAUUAGAAAGACUAGAAAAGAGGAUGAGUUUCUAUCUUUGGUAUCUUUGUUCCUCUCAGGGAUGAAACUUGUGGACAAGGAUAAGGUAGUUGAAUUUAUGAGAAAUUCAAAGAUAGAAGUAAGAAGGUUAAAGAUCUGUGCACAUAAGAUGUCUUUUCACAUUUUAAUAAAAGCUGCCUGGUCAGGUUUGUCUUAUCAAGGCCAUAUUCUGUCCAUACAUUUUUUCAGUAACUGGCAUAGAAUGGAGACAUUUACCUUUAUAGGAUUUUCUGGAAAUAAUAGUGCAUUUGCUCUUUAGAGGCUUAAGAUGGAGGCAUCCUAUAAUAGUGCAUAUAGGAUGUUUAUCGUCUUGAAUAUGAUACAUACUUAAUUCUCUUUAGCUCUAAAGGAACUUCUUUCCUCGAUUGUUUGUCAAUAGUAAUUUUAGAUCCUUAGAUAGUGUCAUAUAGCGCGAUCAUAAGGAAAUAAAUCUGUAAUCAUGAAACUGAAAAUGAUGUUCUCUUUUCUAGUGAAGAAGCCUUGGUGACCACUACCAAAUUCUAAUACUUCUUUUUAUUUAUUCUAGUACAGCUUUGGUUCAACAAAUUUUUCUUGUGAUGUUUGGAAGUUCUCUAGCAGCGAUUUGAUAAAAGGAAGAUUUUGGGUGACUUGGUCUUUAACCAAAAGAAUAGAAGCUUCAUUUGCCCUGUUACUGCCCUUGGUGGUUAGGUAGCAUAUAUAUGCUAUCUAACAUGGGGUUCAGGGUUUAGUAUGAAAGAAGAGAAAGCAAGAGGGCUAGAGGAGUAAAAAGCUUAGGUUCUGGUUUAAAGACAUGUGUAGAGUUAUCAAUAAGGUGAAGUAUUGAGUUGAUGUUUGCUUUCCUUUAUCACCCUGUUGGAUGUUAAUGAGCAGAAAUCAUGCUGAAGAUAGAGCAGAGGAUGGUGUUUGGCAUGCAACAUCAGAUAAUAUCAUAAUUGAUUCUGAUUUCCUUGUAUAGUACAUAUAUAUGAUUCAUGAAUUAAUUCUUUUAAUUGCA